AGUGGGUUUUGCCAGAAGUAGUUAGCCUAACCGCAAGGAGGGCGAUUACCACGGCAGGGUUCAUGACUGGGGUGAAGUCGUAACAAGGUAGCCGUAUCGGAAGGUGCGGCUGGAUCACCUCCUUUCAAG
Molecule: ribosomal RNA, 129 nt
Filed under: Cupriavidus basilensis
Lineage: Bacteria; Pseudomonadati; Pseudomonadota; Betaproteobacteria; Burkholderiales; Burkholderiaceae
Description: partial 16S ribosomal RNA
Rfam family: Bacterial small subunit ribosomal RNA
Source: RNAcentral